UACGGGGGGGGCAAGCGUUGUUCGGAAUUACUGGGCGUAAAGGGCUUGUAGGCGGCUUGCUAAGUCAGACGUGAAAGCCCUCGGCUCAACCGGGGAACGGCGUCUGAGACUGGCAAGCUGGAAUCCGGGAGAGGGAUGCGGAAUUCCAGGUGUAGCGGUGAAAUGCGUAGAUAUCUGGAGGAACACCGGUGGCGAAGGCGGCAUCCUGGACCGGCAUUGACGCUGAGGAGCGAAAGCCAGGGGAGCAAACGGG
This 253-nucleotide ribosomal RNA is filed under the name uncultured bacterium. RNAcentral's name for it is "partial 16S ribosomal RNA". It matches the Rfam family "Bacterial small subunit ribosomal RNA", at positions 524 to 776 of the family's 1533-position model. The record is from RNAcentral.